GGCCCGUUGGAGAAGAGGCUUAACUCAUAUGCCUUUCACGCAUACAUUCAUGGGUUCGAAUCCCGUACGGGUCACCA
This 77-nucleotide transfer RNA is filed under the name Bacilli bacterium. RNAcentral describes it as "tRNA-Glu". It matches the Rfam family "tRNA". Rfam says of the family: Transfer RNA (tRNA) molecules are approximately 80 nucleotides in length. The record is from RNAcentral. Lineage: Bacteria; Bacillati; Bacillota; Bacilli. RNAcentral also lists the same sequence under 1 other name.